RNAcentral lists this ribosomal RNA (467 nucleotides) under uncultured bacterium. Its description in RNAcentral is "partial 16S ribosomal RNA". It matches the Rfam family "Bacterial small subunit ribosomal RNA", at positions 28 to 506 of the family's 1533-position model. The record is from RNAcentral.
GACGAACGCUGGCGGCGUGCUUAACACAUGCAAGUCGAACGGAAAGACCCUGCUUUUGUGGGGUGCUCGAGUGGCGAACGGGUGAGUAACACGUGAGUAACCUGCCCUUGACUUUGGGAUAACUUCAGGAAACUGGGGCUAAUACCGGAUAGGAGCUCCUGCUGCAUGGUGGGGGUUGGAAAGUUUCGGCGGUUGGGGAUGGACUCGCGGCUUAUCAGCUUGUUGGUGGGGUAGUGGCUUACCAAGGCUUUGACGGGUAGCCGGCCUGAGAGGGUGACCGGCCACAUUGGGACUGAGAUACGGCCCAGACUCCUACGGGAGGCAGCAGUGGGGAAUAUUGCACAAUGGGCGGAAGCCUGAUGCAGCAACGCCGCGUGCGGGAUGACGGCCUUCGGGUGGUAAACCGCUUUCGCCUGUGACGAAGCGUGAGUGACGGUAAUGGGUAAAGAAACACCGGCUAACUACGU